AAACUCCAGCAUCCUUACCCUUCAGAUCUAAAUAUUGGUCUGACUGGUUAGGAAAGGAGGAACAGUAAAUAUGAAGUGGACUUGGAGUCUUUAUUGACAAAAAGUUCAUUUCAAACAUAA
RNAcentral lists this small nucleolar RNA (120 nucleotides) under Echinops telfairi (small Madagascar hedgehog). Its description in RNAcentral is "Small nucleolar RNA SNORA61 (ENSETEG00000024516.1)". Lineage: Eukaryota; Metazoa; Chordata; Mammalia; Afrosoricida; Tenrecidae. The record is from RNAcentral.